AACGUAGGAGGCAAGCGUUAUCCGGAGUUACUGGGCGUAAAGAGUGCGUAGGCGGACGUGUAAGUGGGUGGUGAAAGCGCCCGGCUAAACCGGGCGAGGUCCAUUCAGACUGCAGGUCUAGAGGCGGAUAGAGGGGUGCGGAAUUCCGGGUGUAGCGGUGAAAUGUGUAGAGAUCCGGAGGAACACCAGUGGUGAAAACGGCGCCCUGGGUCGGAACUGACGCUGAAGCACGAAAGCGUGGGGAGCGAACGGG
This 253-nucleotide ribosomal RNA is filed under the name uncultured bacterium. RNAcentral describes it as "partial 16S ribosomal RNA". It matches the Rfam family "Bacterial small subunit ribosomal RNA", at positions 524 to 776 of the family's 1533-position model. The record is from RNAcentral.